Molecule: small nucleolar RNA, 71 nt
Filed under: Gossypium arboreum
Lineage: Eukaryota; Viridiplantae; Streptophyta; Magnoliopsida; Malvales; Malvaceae
Description: Plant small nucleolar RNA R71
Rfam family: Plant small nucleolar RNA R71
About the family: R71 is a member of the C/D box family of snoRNAs containing the C (UGAUGA) and D (CUGA) box motifs. Multiple nearly identical copies of this snoRNA have been identified in Arabidopsis, and it is thought to function as a 2'-O-ribose methylation guide for 18S ribosomal RNA.
Source: Rfam by way of RNAcentral
AAGCCAUGGUGAGGGCACCUUCUCAAUAAAUCCUUGUAUCUCUCCCAUGCAUCAUAUAGUGUUUCUAAAUC